ACAAAGAAAGUUUCUUUUUAGAAAGAAUAGAGGAGUUAGUGGAGUAGUAGACCUUAUAGAUAAUGCUUCAAAAGGAUCCCAACAGAUUCUUAUCAACUCAUAGAAUGCUUUGGAAGGGCUCUUUGGGAAGAUCUAGUCUAGCAAUUCCCAACCUUUUUGAGUAUUUUUUAAACCGUCAAAAGAUUCUAUUGAUAUUCACUUUUUGACUGAGAAAAUGCAUGAUGACAAAAAGCUACUGUAAACCUCAGCAGCAUUUUAAAAUGAACUUGCAUUUUAGUAAUUAUAGCAUAAAGUUUGAAAAAUAGUAAUAUACACAUGCAAUACGUUAAUUGAUCUGCAUGUCUGUUUAUAAUAUCGACGUAUUUAAUGAAAUGGAAUUCUUGGUGGUUCUCAGUCUAUAGUCUUAUCAUCUAAGGAUUAAAAGCAGAAGCUACUCUUUACCUUUAGGUCUAUUUUGGAGAACCCUACUUGCAAUUCUCCAGAGAGCCACGAGGUGGCACUGUGACAUAGUGUUGGUAAUUUAGGAAACAGGAGAGACAGGGAGGAUUCAACAGGUGUUCAAGUACAGAUGAAUCAGCUCAACCUGAAGCAACUGUUAGAGAAUUAUACUCUGUUCUCACUUAAGACCAUCAGCACUGCCACAGAAAAUGACUGAGCGCUGACUUCUCAAGAAAUCAGAUUGCAUGCACAUUCGAAAGAAAGAUCUCCAGUGGGCCGGAGAGCCUGGGUAUUCUGAAACGCUGCUGCUGAACACAGCUAAGAUGGUGAGGCCAGUCUGAGGCCUUUUCUAAUCUGGAUAAUGGUCAAGGAGUUAGUACUAGUGAAAAAGUGGAGAAUUUGGCAAACACACUUGCAUUUGUUCACCUUCACAAAGCACAUCUGGAUUUCUAUUUGAAGGCAAAAGAAAUCAAUGGCAAGGACUUCCCAAUUCCAGAAUAAUACUUUCCCUACUGCUGGCCUCAAGGGAUAAGGAGUAAUCACAAGGACAAAGCUAAUUCAUCUCUUAUUAUACCACUUCUCUGAUUGAUAGGCAUUCCAUAUCUAAUGGUGAGAAGGAAUCUAAAAAUACUGCCAAAGGUGUUGCCUUAUCCUGGGCUCCAAUGGGAACAGAGCACAACAUCAUGAAGGUUCUUAGCAGGACUGGUAUGAAGUGGCCUAAAAUUAAGGGCACCAAAGCCUUUGGCACAAGGCUGCAAGUUAUACCUCAGAGCUACCCUAAGUCAUCACUUUUAUCAGGACUAUAUAUGCUCGAUGAGACAUCAAGAAGGGCAGCAAGACCAAAGGUCUGGAGCAACCAACUAAAAUUCAUAUCCAUUUAUAUAAGCUCUGAUAGACCAUGUGUUCUGCUUGGCUGGUCAGAACAGCCACACCCUAAUGAAUGAAGAGUGAAUUCCUAGUAAGGAGAACCCAAAUUCUGUAUGGGAGGAGGAGGACAAAGGCACUAUAUAUGGAUCCAAUCUGGAAGAGAGCAAUCAUGGACACAUGAAAGGCUAAUUACCUGCUCCUCUCAAAAGGGAUCACUUUAGAUUAUGGAAAAUGAAUGUCUAGGUGGUAUGGAGAUGAGAAGGGCAGAGAGAAAAGUGCCUGAAAUUAGUAAUCCAGGGUCUGUUCUCUCAGCCUUUGUCUAUAUGAGGCUGAUACAGGAAAUACCCCAGAAAGAGACCAAGCAAAGAAAUGCUAACCGAGAAAAGGAAAGCCUACAAGACAAUCUCUGCAUCAUUCCAGGACUAUAUAUGGAAGUACAAAUGGGAAAGCUCUAGUCACUUAGGACUAUAGGAUGAACAAAAGGCUAAUUAUUCAAAUCAACAGUGUCAUUUGACCAUGGUCUUACAUCACUGUUAGUAAUAUGUGCUAAAAACAAAAAAAAUCCUUAUCAAAGAGAGUUGGGAAAGAGUUAUCUGGUGUUCAACAGAUGGUCAGCUCUGUAUGUCAUUCUGUAUAUGAACAAAUACAGAUCCUCAAAGGCUCCUUUCUGGCAGCUUAGCAAGCACCACAGAAAUGAAACCUAUUUUAUAGCUAUAAAGGAUCUCUGAGAUGUCCACCCCUUCAUUUCACAAAGAGAAGAGUGUGGGAGGAGUACCCAGGGAGGGGAAUCAUAGGUUCUAGGCCCACGUCUCCCAACUUCAAGUUCAGGUUUGAGAAAAGCAAAAUUUCUUUCCUCCAGUGAUCCCUUAGCAGUGAUAAAAGCAAAGUUGAUUGGAAGAGCAUUCACUUUCCAAAGUGUUUUGUAUUCACAAUUCUGGGAACUGGCAGGAAUUAUCACCAUUUUAUAGACAUCAACUGAGGGCCAGAGAAGUUGUCUAAGGUCAAAAGUUAGUAGAAUUAGGUCCAAAAUCCCAACCCAGAUAUUUAUAAUGACAUCAAUAAAAUACAACACAAAACUUAAAUCUCAUGGCUAUCUAUACUUCUGGUUAAAAAAGGGGAAGAUGAUCUAUGUUGUCGAUGGUGUAUCUACAGUCUGCAAGACUUCCUCAGAUCCUCUGACUCAGAGUCCUCAGACAAGGACCAGUUUCCCAGUUUCCGUUCUUUGGAUGAAGACUUUAUACUAAGAAAAUGACUCAAAUUCAUGACCAAGGAAAUAAGGUGCCACCACUGAGCUGACUUUCAUUCGCGUUCUUGCCAAAUGACAUGACUCACUAUACUCUCUGCUUUUCCAUCCUGUCCUCUCUAAAAGCAUCCAUGCCUCUGGCUCAAGCAGCUGCUUGGAAUGAACUGGCUAUCCCAUCACCAGAGGCUUAAGUCCAUCCACCUUUUCCUUCAAGAUUUAAUUUGGAUGCUGCCUUUGACAUCCUCCAUGAUAAAAAUAGUUUAUUAUUUAGCUAAUUUCUACAAUUUCUCACUGCAUUCUGCUUUCCUCUCUUAUGUUCUUAUCUUUUUAUUUCUACUCUUACUGGAAAACAAGACAGUGUCAUGAAAACAACAAUAGACACAGGGUCAGAAAACAGAAUCAAAUUCAGAGAAUGCCAUUUAACAAUAUAUGACCAUCACAGCUACUAAUAAGCCUUUUAAAAACUCACUUUCUUCAUCAGUAUAAUGCGGACAGAAUUCAAGUCAGCAAACGUUUAUCAAGAGUUUAUUAUAUGCUAGGGUUGUAAUGAGAACAGUAACAAGAACAAAGGUAAUCCAUCCUUACAUGAUAAAGGUUUGGAUUUUUGGGUUUUUUUUUUUUUUUUUUUUUUUUUUGCACAGGACAGAAUUUAGGGAAGGAGGGCACAUUUCUGCACAGAGUAAGUAGCAUCAGGCUAAUUCUAAGACAGAAAGAGGAGGAAAAUGCAUUUGGAGAAUGUGUUGAUGCUUGUGCAUGACGGAAAUGAGAUGGAACACUUAACAGUUUUAAUAUGGCUGGAAGCAAGUAUUAUGAAAUAAAGUUGGAGCCAGGCUAUGAAGGCUUGAAUGGUGUUAUUUUCCCCAAAAAGACCUAGGAAACAUUGCAGACUGUUAAAGUAGUGAAAUGGUCAAAUGACAACCUACAAAUAUCUGGCUCAUAUAUGGCUUUGUAAACUUUUACAUCUAUCAAUAAACUAGUAUAUAUUAAGUGCCUAAUCUAUACCAGGACCUGUGCCUUUAUAAAGCUCCUAAAUUUCAGGAGCCUACUGAUAUUCUUGGGGGGGGGAUGAGGGGGAAGAUGACAUAUUCUGCUAUAUAGAAUAUAUAAACAUAUAUAAAAAUAUAUACCGAAUAAGUAUAAGAAGCUAAAUCUUUUUUGGAGGGAAGGAGGAGGAAGAAAAGUACUAAAAGUUAAGGAGAUCAGGAAAAGUUCUAGGAAGAGGAUUUCAUAGUGUGAGAACUGAGCCUUAGAAAAUGAGGGAUUUUAAGAGGCAAAUAAAGGAUCUAAGUAGAGUCACUGCCAAGACCCAGUGGCAUCUGAUGGGAGAGGUGCCGUAUGGGAGGAACAGGAUGGCGGCCAGUUUGACUAGACUGUGUGGUUUAUGAAGUAGAAUCAUAAGUUAAUAAGGCUAGAAAGGCUAGAAAACUAGGCUGGAGAUGCUUGUGAAGUCUUUACCCUCCAUUAUUCAGGAAUAGUUCACAUCUAAUCAUGGAGGAAGUGAUCUGGUUAGCCCUGUACUAAAGAAACAUACAUACAUCACUAUCACAUAUGUAUGAAAAAAGGUCUUGGAGCCCAAAACUCAUUUCUAUCUUUUUUUCCCCUGUUUUUCCCCAAGUUCCUAACUCCUUAUCUUAUACACAGUGAUUAUUUAAUACAUGUUUAUCUAUCGAUACAUGAAUGUUGGUUCUGCUGGGUUCUGUGGUCAAAACUAGGACUGCCUUGUUGAAAUUUGUGCAGUCUUGAAGUUUUAAGAGUUCAACAUGCAUUAAUUCAAUACCUAACCUCAUUCAAAGGAAACAGAACAGAAUAAUGAACUCAAUAAAAGGUAGAAACUGUGGGUUAAAGUCCUUUUAGAAACAUGCAUGCCAUCACCAGCACACACUUUUUCUCGCCCCUCCAUAUCCAAUCUGUAACUUUGGCCUGUCACUUUCACCUGUGCAGCAUCCCUUUUCUCCUCUGAUGUUGCCCCCACUCUAUUGCAGACCCUCAUCAUCUCUAGCGUGGAAAGUUGCAAUACUCUGUUUUUUUGUUUUUUUGUUUUUUAAAUUUCAUUUUAUUUAUUUAUUUAUUUAUUUAUUUUUUGCAAUACUCUGUUGAAGGGUCUGUCUUCUCCAAGUCUUUCCCACUCCAAAAACCAUUCUGUUGGCAAAUUUAAUAGAAGAUCAUAUCUUUAUCACCCCAUUAAGUCAAUAAACUCUAGUGGCUCCCCUAUCACUUCUAGGAUCACAUAAAAACGCUUUGUUUGAUAUUCAAAGUCCUUCACAGAAGUCUCUGGCCUAUCUUGGGAAUUGUACCAAGCACACUCUAAAACUCUUAAGCUAAAUAAAACCAGUGUUGGCAAUUUCUAUAAAGGGAAUCCCCUAAACCUAUGAAAUUUUAAGUCCAAAGAGAGGGAGGGGAGGGAAAGGAAGGGAAACAUAGAACUAGAAACAAAAAAAGUUUUUUUUUUUUUUUUUUUU
Long non-coding RNA from Antechinus flavipes (yellow-footed antechinus), 5007 nucleotides. RefSeq lists it as uncharacterized. The transcript has 2 exons. The record is from RefSeq and is a predicted model, not a curated record. NCBI's taxonomy places the organism in Eukaryota, Metazoa, Chordata, Mammalia, Dasyuromorphia, Dasyuridae.